GGGUUGCAGGUGGAGCAAAGACGGGUAACAAGUGUGGAGAUGCAAGCAGCGAUGGCGACAUAGGAGCUAUGAUCAAAGGUCAGGAGGGCAAUGAGAUGGCAGGGCUCUGAGGGCUUUGACAAGGAUUGCUAGGUGGUGGCUUAGAGGACCAUUAGUUGGCAGCAGAGGAGGAGAAGAGGAGAGUGGUGUCCUUCACAGCUCCAAUAAAAUCUCAACCAUUGUCUAAGCUUAUGAAUUCGGCCGCUCGAAGCCUCCACCCGAUUGAGACUCCUGCAGGCAUACGUAAAGGAAAGACAGAAAAAAUUAAACAUAGAUUGAUCUUUUUCUCUUUUUUUUGCUUUUUGCUUCCUUUUCUUUUUCAUUUCAUUCUCUUUUUCGGAGAUUUACAGGGAAGGAGAGCACCCUAAGAGAUCAGAGGGAUUUUGGAUUUUUUAGAUUCUGGUUGCAAUAGAUUUGAGAAUUUUUUAUUAGAAGAUUGGAGGGGUUUCUUUCAUAGAUUGAUCUUUUUCUCUUUUUUUUUGCUUUUUGCUUCCUUUUCUUUUUCAUUUCAUUCUCUUUUUCGGAGAUUUACAGGGAAGGAGAGCACCCUAAGAGAUCGGAGGGGUUUUGGGUUUUUUAGAUUCUGGUUGCAAUGGAUUUGAGAAUUUUUUAUUAGAAGAUUGGAGGGGUUUCUUCUAAUUACAAUGGAUUUGUGAUUGUUGAUCGAAAUGAGGAGUUAUGUAAACUGUUCUCAAAAAUCGUGUGGGAUCCGAUCUGAUCCGAGCAAAGUGGGUAUACUUGAUCCGACUCGAUCUAACCUAUAUCCUCUAUUUUAUUUGAUUUGAGAUAGAUAUAGAGUAGAUAUGGAUAUGGAUUUUUUACAUAAUAAAAUGAGUACGGAUAUUGGUUGAUCCAAUCAUAUAUGAUCCAUGGCCAUCCCUAAUCCCGUCAUCCAAACUUUAUCAAGAUCAUAAUGCCAUAUUUUGAAAAACUUUUUCUCAAUCGGUAUUGAUACAUGAUGGGAGAAUAGCUCAUUUUAGCAAUACACAAUAAGAAUAUAAGACUGUAUACAUAUUAUGAUCUUUCUUUUUUAUUACUUUUUUUUUUUUGAUAAAAAUGAAAUAUUUAUGCAAAUCUUGUGUGAAUACAUAUAGAAAGAUCAGAAAAUAAAAUAUUCCUCAAAGACCGACUAGUAAGGCUCAAAUUCGACCAGAGCGUAUCUUCGGAGUACUCUGUUACAAAUGCAGCCGCCCAGUCCACUGCGGUAUUCAUCUUCUGAAAAAUAUAUCUAUAGCCAGUGCUGUAUACCCAAUCAACGAGGCCGUGAUAUCUUGAAGAAAGGCAUGAGCAGCACCUUCCGUCAUGCAUCUGCAAAUUUAAGUAAUCACUAUCGCAGAAUCACCCUUGAUGAUCAGAUAAUCGGCUCGUAGAUCCACCGCAUAUAAGUAAUCCCAGUCUAAGCUGUUCAGAUUUUAUCCCCCUCUUUGUUAAACCAAAAUACCGGCUGUAGUAUAAAUAUAUGUAUUAAAGUCACAAAGCAGCAAGCUGAUAGGGGCGUAGUCCGCAGCAUUGUUAAACCAUUUACAUGAGGACUGCCUCAACGGAGCUAACAGAAAAUGGUCCUUUUCUUCUUUUCGUUGGCUAUUACGUUCAUUAUGUUUGUUCUAUGAUUUAAUAAUGCUAACAAUCAGAUUGCCGGAUUACUCCCCCUCUCGCUUGAACUAUUGUAUCCUUCUUAUCUAAAAUAAUUCCAUAGUUAUAUUCGGAUAGUCACAUGGUUUUUCUUUAGGGAAAUUUCAUGAUUAUUGUUAUUCAAGCCUAACUUGACAACAAUUCAAACUAUUUUCCUCCUUUCCUAAUAUUUAAGCAUGCUCAAAAAGAGUGCCACUGGAUCAAUGGGACUCAAGAUUGCUUGCAAUCAUGGUUGUUAAUAAGUCUCAAAGAUUCACUUGAGGCAUACGGGAUUAUCACCAUUUUCUUUAUGAAUUUUUGCCCAACCAUUUCAAUUUGAGUAGAGAGCACACCAAGUGAGAAGCAAAAGAAAAAACACAUCUGCUUGGCGCGAUUUGAUUUAUUUAAAAUAGAGAUACAAAUAAGUCAAAUUGCUUACAAGCUAAUCGAACUCAAUUUGAAUAUAUAUAUAUAUAUAUAUUAUUAAUAGCUUAAUGGUCGAAUUCAAGUUUGAACUCAAUCUCGAUCAUGGUCCGAGUGAUAUUUGAGUCAAAUCAAAUUGAUCUGAAAUUUCAUCUUUUUUUCAUCAAGUCAAGUUUGAGCUUGAGAUAUUAAAAUUUAAUCGAUUUAAAGUUGAGUUUCAAAUCUUACUAUUUUAAAUUGAAUCAAACUCCAAUGCCUAAUUAUUUGACUCAGCUCGAUUUGAUUUCACCCCUACAUCAAAAAUAUAUAGGAGAAGUGCUAAAUGUAUAAGCUUAUCCCUGGGAUAUGCCUUAUCUCUUGGACAUGCCGCGUGAGUCCAAAACAUGGCAUGUUGAAAGGUCAGCCAUAUAUCUAUGGUUAUUUGUUUCUAAUGCACUAGGUGGAAAAAUUUUGAGGACUCAUACAGAUUAAAAAAUUUAAAUAAUAUUUUUAAAUUAAUCGUUUUGGUAGGAUCCUCCAUUGUCAGCAGGGUUUAGACAGGCACAGCAUGAUUAAAUGUAACUUUGUGAUUGGACUUUACGAUGUCUUGCCCAGCAUGAAGUGUGCCAGGGCUUAAGCACGCAAAUGAAUAUGUGAGGUCCUGCCUAGUACCAAGUACAACACAUCGUGUAACGUUCAGAGGAAGUAGGAUCCAUUCAGGGAGGGGAUAGAGGUAGCCAAGCAAUGGAGACAGGGUGUUUGUCCGACAAAGGAUAAAACUGCCAAACACCUGCGAGAUUCUUUUCGUAUUGGAGCCCAACUCUUUUUAUGUUUGAUUGUCCGAAAUUAGGCGUGACCAAUGACAAGGACCCUUCAUUUGUUUGUCACAAGCUAAAGAAAAAGAAGAUGCAUAAUGCCCUUCGUGUAGUUGCAUUCACAUCACCAAUUUUAUGCAGACUGACUUUAAUCUUCUACCAUUUGCCCAAAUAUUUUCAAGGAUAUCUUCGUUGCCAUAUUGCUAACAUAUUUACGUGCAUUUUUCUUGCUGCGUUGUAUUAUUGUUACUCGUGAUCCAGAGUGUAACCACACGGGAACCGGAAAAAAAAGAGUACUGGUUAUUUUCUUCAUUGACGAAUGGCUUUGUAUGCACUGCAGGAGUAAUGACUUACUGAAAGCUAAAUAGCCGUGAUGAGAUUAGCCAGCGGUCAAGAUUAGACAAGGUGAAGCAUAUCAAUAUAUAUAUUUAAAAACUGUGUCGAAUGAUGACUAGAUUUAGUGAUUACUCCUCUGGCAUCAGGUUCAAAUACAGGGACAAAACUAGCGACGGUGGUCUCUUUAGCACUGCAGAACAAUUUGUGGGGCAAUGUUGGCCAUUUGGAUAGACAAGAACACAGCUGAUAGUAAUAAUUAAAAAAAGGACAGUACCUGCUACUUUAUUAAAGGGGACUAAGUUUGAAGUGAACCGGGGAGUGGAGAGAGCUCGACAGUGGAGGCAGAGCUUGUUACCAUAGACUGUGACCUUCCCUUUGAGAACUUCGUACCUGUGCGACUGAGGACUGAAGGCUGGUCCAUUGUGCAAAUCUAACAUAUCGCAGCAUCAUUCAACAAAUAGGCCUCCCCUUUUUCCUUUUUCCUCUUUUCCUUUUUUUUCCCUGAUGAACAACAAAUAGGCCUCCCUCAAUCAACCCCCUUCCCACCAAAUUGGCCUGGACCACAUUUUGCUGGAUAAAUGCUACCUGUCACCGUUAUUCACUGCUUGUGAGGGAUGCUAAUAGCCAUCCAUUUUGGUAAGCUUGCUUAUCAUAUAACAGAGCGCUAUGUUAGCUCUUUGAUUCAAAUGGUUUGCCAUUAUGUUUUCAAGAAUGCUAUGCCUACACCAUCAGCUAUAUCAUCUCUGACAUUGAGCACGUUGCUCCCACAGCACCACAAUCAAGCUACCUUAAUAGUUAAAUGGAUGCAUUGCCAAAGCACAAAGAUCUAUGGGUAAAUCUAAAAAUAAAUAUAGUUUUUUUAUGUAUGAUUACUAUGAGUUUUAUAUUCAAGUCCUUGCCAAUGGAUGGCAACUUUGGAUAAAAUAGGUUGAGACAUGAACAAGCUGACUCUACCAUAAAAAUGUAGUCGGGAAAGAAUACUCAAUCGUUUCACCUGGCAAUUAAAUAAAUGACUUCAUAAGCAGAUGAGCUUCGAUGAUAAAUUCCAUAAAUGUCACAGUUAGGCCUACUCCUUGUUUUGAUAAAAGCUCGCCAAAAUCAUCUUCUCGCACUUACAAAUAAGAUCUACUCAAAUUGUGACCUGGAAACCACAGUCAAAUUCUGCUUCAUAGUACAAAGACAAUUUGAUCAGUCAUAGCGCCAAACAUUUAUGUUUUCCUUGUACAUUUACAUAUGAGAUACUAUCAAAUUCCUACUGGCAUCUUCCUCCAUGAUUCCCACAAACACAGAAGAUCAAAAGAGGAAAUGACGAAGAUAACUGGAAAAAGAUUGAAAUCAAGGAAAGGAGGGGGGGAAAAAAAAAAGAUCCACUCUAAUGCAUCUUUCAAAGCUCACCGAAAAGAUGUUCAAUGCACAACCCAGAUAUAAAAGACCCUCUUCUUUCCAACUAACACUAGGUUGCUGUUCUCUUCCUGCUGACCGCUCCCAGCUGGAGAAAAAGGAAGGAAAAUGCUUUAGUCAUUACAGUGAAAUGUAAGACCAAAUAUAACUGCAAACUUCUAAGAGAAACCUCCAAUCACCCAAUAACAAAACUUGCACAAAGAUACCCACUUCAGUGAAAAAGAGGCAACUAGAGAAUGGACUUACAGAAGACGCAGAAAGCUCAGAACUCUUCAGCACACGCAACCUCUUGGCUGUGGAGACAAACAUGCUGCAAGCACCAAAGGGAAAAAGAAUAUAAAGAUAGAGAACCUCUGUAGGCAUUUGGACUUUCAUAAAUAAACAGUUGAUAGAACUUUACACCGCACGGUCACGUACUUGGCUCAAUUUUAACAACUGUAAGAAAAACGAUCAAGUCAUAAAGUAAAUGGUGAUUUUCACAACAAACAUUUAUUUCAUUUUCUUUUCUUUUCUUUUCUUUUUUUUGAGUGAAAACCUUGAGGAUAAUCACAGGGUGAAAAUUUCAAACAAGUUUCUCAAGGCUUGUUCUAUUGUUUGACCAUAGAUUUUUGAAUUUUUUAGAAGAUAGGAGUGUAAUAUUAGAAUUUCGAUUUCCAGUGACAGUUCAACAAAGACAAAAUGAUUCAAGCUAUGUAAAGGGAAAGGUUUCAAUUAAAGAUGCUAAGAAAGCUAUAUAACAAAUGUAUUUCUUUGACUACCACAUGUUACAAGAUUAUAAAACCAAAAGUUACUGAAAUAUAUUUUAAUUUAUAAUAUUGUUUGAUCCAAAUGUGCAGGCACUAUGGAUGAAUGGCUUGCAUGGAUUCUUGCACCAAAUUAGAUCCCCUGGAAUAAGAAAUAGAAGUAAUACCAAACUGAUGAAAAACUUACUCCCAAGGAACAUCCCCCACCAGCAUCCUGUCACCUUCAUCAUCUUCAUAAACCAAAGUAUAUUCGCCACUUCCAUCUAGUAAACCUGUGAUUGCUUGCUUUUCUUCAGGAUUCUUCUGAGUUCCAGCAGUAAGAGGAUCCCUUUGAGCUAAGCAAAUUUAAGUCAAAGUACAAAAAAAAAAACUCAGGUUAGCAAUGCACUUACAAGGCCCAAUGAGCCCAAAACUAGCAAGGUGGUCAAUGUAAAGGCGGAGAGCAUAAUCUACAAAUUAUUACUCCACGUUGCAAUAAUUACAUGUGGAAGGUCUCAAGGUUAUCAUCAACUUCCUUUAAUAUAAAUCAUAAGCAGAGUCAUCACUCCACAUUUUACCCUUUUCCUAUACCAUAUUGUAAUAUAUAGAACAGGUAGGAGCUCUGGUAUGUUAAAAUUAUAAGAGACAUCUAAUGUAAAUUUAGAACCCAAUAUAAUUUUGGCACGGCAUGAAGCAUGUUAUUUGAUUGGAUUGCUUUUUGUUGUUAUGCUUCCUCCACGAUGGAUAUUAGGUAAUAUACCUGCAAGAAGGCCCUGAAAGAGUUCAUCUACAACCAAAGAGAGCUUCUCAUAGCUAUCAUAGGCCUUCAAAUCUACUUUCCUUCCUAUGGGUAUCCCGUCCAUGUUGAUUUUCACAAACAAGCCUUUCCUACCAUUCUUGAACUUAACUGCUGUUUCCGGUCCUCCAUUCUGUGAUUCAAGGGAAGGUUUGGAAAUGCUUGCAAGAUUCCUUCUGAAAGAACGAAUAGGAGGCCACCCAACAACUGGGGUUGGGGCAGUCCUGCUUUCACAAACAAACAACAUAGGAAAAAAGGAUAGCAUUUAAGUAGCUGAAUAAAACAUAAAUGGGCUAAUCUAUAUUUUCAUGAACAAAAGAGCAACUCUGAAAAAUUGCACAAUUGUAACAAAUCUCACAAUAGCUGUUGCAGUUUGAAAGAAAUAGUAAGGCCAGAUUGUCGAAAUAAAGUUUAGCUAGAAUAUAAACAAAAUGAUCCCAGAAAAGGCAGUACUCAAAUUUCCUUCUUGUUCAGCAAGUAUACAAUCAUCUGAAAACCAGAUUAGAAAGGAUUUUUUCAAAAAAAAAAAAAGUAGGCAGGUGUGUUAAUAACUGUGAAGCUACAUAAUUAGAUAUUAUUAAAAAUCAAAAUUGCGAAUACAAGUCAUAGAUCUAAGAGGAAGCAUCCAAAGGUGGCUCAGUUGAUAGUAAUUUGUGGCCUGCAUAGAAAAAGCAGGUGAGCAUUUUGCCAUAAGAAACAACAGAAAACUAAAAACAAAGCAUUUUCAAAUAAAAAUGAUGAUAUAAAUAGCAAUAGGUUAUAAAAGUCUCUUUUCUAACUUUUAUUUCAAAGACUACAAACUUCUUAUGACCAUAUCUUUUCUGAAAACCGAGUGAAUCUAACUUUUUUUGAAAAAUGAAUGAUUCUUAAUAUUUGCAAACUUCUUUUUCCCUAUUCUGUUCCGGGCAUCCUCUCAGAAAAUAGAGUGUUUAUUUUAUAAAAAAUAGAUAAAUUCUCAUUCCAUUCAUAACAAGAGCCAUGUGCUGUAGUUUUACUAAAAACCGGCACAAUAGCUGAAGGGAUGUUUUCUUCUCCUUUGCUUAAUAGCUAACAAGAAAUAGCAAUUCUAGGUAUGAGAUGUACAAAAGGAGAUCACGAAAAUGGAAUUUUUCUAACACAUGCUACACAGAGAAACUACAUGAGAACCAAGGGUCUUUUUAAUUUUAAAAUACCCAAGAUGGAUUGUAAAAGGAGUUAAAAAUAAAAAGAGACAUUAAAAAGGAAGUUUUUACUUCGAUAAUUGUAUUUGCAAAUGGAACAAUAUCGUUUAAUUGGAGAGGAAAGACAUGAUUUAGAGCUUUAUCAUUACUACUUACUAGAGAGGCUGCUAAAAAAUAAAAGUAAAUAUAAUAAAUAGAAACACCUAAACUAAUUUUCUGUAAUUUAGGUAAUAAAAAUAUCCUACUGCAGAGCAUACAGCAGCUGCAAGCAAAUUUACUUAGCAUAACAUAUGUUAAAUGUCAUUAUAUAUGAGCAGCAAACAAACUGACUAAAUAGGAGAAAUAAGAGUUCCUGAAGUUAAUAUAAGAAACAAUGUAGCAACAAUAGCAUAGUUUCCACCCUCAAUCUCCCUGUCCCCAAGCUCAAGCUAAAAACAAGCCAGACAUGGGAAAGCUUUAAAUGUAAUAACUCUAAACUUGUGGCACACCUAAGAAAGAAAGGAACAUGACCAAGAUACAGGACACCUCCAAAAGCCGGUCAUCCAAAGAAGUAAACAGUGACCAACAGGAUUCACAGUGCACCAGGCUCCCGCGCUUUGGAUCCGGGAGGGUCAGAUGUACACAGUAGGGAGGUUGUUCCCGUGACACCCAGGUCCCAAUAGAGCAAACUUAGCUCUCUAAACUGUGACCCACAAGUUGCCUUUAAAAAAAGAAAAGCUUAAGGGCAGAAGACUAUGAUUACUACCUUGUCUGAGAGCUGUUGUUGGCUCCAGCUCCAUCACCACAAGGAGCAGCAGCCGAACCAUGUGCCGCUGGAGACCCACAAGCCUUUUUCUCAAGGCUCUGCUGUUCUGCCCUCCCAUUUGUCUUCUGUGAUAAUUCCUUCCCUUUAGCCUGCAACUGGAGAAAGCCAGGCUGCUGCUGUUGCUGCUGCUGAAAAACUAGUGAGAAACAGGAAGAAGAAGAAGAGAUCAACGGUCAAGAAAAACAUGGAACGAAGAAGAACCAACCGCUAAAACUUCUUGUCUAUUAGCAUACCUUCUGUUUUGGACUCAACCGUGUCUAGAAAUCCUCUUUUGGCUCCAACAGAAGAAGGAUUAGUGCCUAUGGUUUUAGAAACCUUGGAGUAGUGACCAAGGGAUAGAGCAGACUCAAUAGAGUGCUCUUCUCUCUUCUCCUUAACUGAUGACCAGUCUUCAUCUCCAGGGAGGCCAAGUCUCAGCUCAAGCUUUUUCUCUUCAGAGACUCCAAAGCAUUUUCCUCCUACACCCACAUCCUUGACCAUCCAAUCUCUCUCAUUUGGAAUGAGAUCGAGCAGCUGCGGACGUCCUUCUCCUUUCCUAAAAUCCUCUUCCAUGACUCUCUUCUGCAUUUUUUUCUUUAGUUGAUGGAAACUCUCUUCUGGACAAUGGACGAAAGACUAGGAGAAAAGAAGAGAAACUUUCUCUGUUUUAGUCCUCACAGAGGAAGGGAAGAAAAAAAGAUAGCAACUGUCGUGAGGAAACACCGACUGGGGAUAUAAACACAAAAAAUAAUAGAUUAUAACAAAAGAAAACCAGGAGAAAAGAGCAUGAACUGAAGGAAGGGAGACAGAGGAAAGUGUUUCAAGUAUCGUCCAAGAAGAAAAGACCAAGAAAAGAAAAAAAAUCAGAGAAUGCUGGCAGAGCAAGAGGAUACCAAUGGAACUCGUUUCCAAGCACCUCACAACCAAGGAGCCCUGAGAAAACCUUCUCAAACGACGACCCAAUCCAAAAGGACAAAAAACAUAUAUAUAUAUAUCCUCUGAACCAAAAUAAGAAAAAAGUGGUCUCCCUUUUACUUUCUCCACAGCAAAGACCGUGCUCCGUCCCCCAAAACUCUCAACCCCAGGCAACAAAAUCGAACACCCACAUGGCAAACCAGCAUUAUUGACCCCCGGAACUCUCAAAAUACGAUCUUUGAAAGGCCUCCGGCUUUUGAUUCGAUUUGUUCUACUUAAUGCACUGUUUUCCGUGCUCUUUUUCUUUUUUCUGUCUCUCUUAUCCUCGUCGCAGAGGUUGAGAUCAGAAAGGGAAUAAUAGCAGAGGAAGCGCAGGAGAUUCCAUGGCUGAAACGAGGCCGGAAAAGGGAAUGAGAGCCUCGGUCACGCAAGUGUCGGACAGCGGGAGCAGCUCGGGAGAGGCGUGUUUGGGUGACACCAGCACGCUCACCCAAGCCCAACGAUGGAGGUGUGAGCGUGUUACCCUCGCUUCCACUCUUUUAUUGGAGGAAAAAGUGCUCCAUCAGAAUAACUCAUGGCACAUUAAUUAAUCCUAAACUAAAGGCAGGUUAGUUUAUCAUAGUCAUGCGAGCCUUGUACGCCAAUUUGGUCCCUGUUAGCUCCAACAACCAUCAAGCUUGUUGGAUAUCUAGGAUAUUGGGUUACGACUAGCCUCUACUGCAGGCUGUUGUCCAUGGACCUAUUUUUCCAGCCAACUAGCUUCAGUAAAAAAAAUAUGGCAGUAACGAUGGUCCAACGGGAAUCAUUUGAUUUCGGAGAUUUCAUCUAGCUUUAUGUCAUGGACAAGUCAAUACCUUCAUCAUUUAAUCGGUGUUGCAAAUUGGUCACUUUAUGCCACAAUAGUCUCGAUAUAUAUCAUUAAGUGGCUGAGGCAUCAAAGCUAACCAUCCAUACCUCGAUUCAGUUGGGCUGACUCGAGCUGAUGUUAAACUCCCUUUUAAAUUACUGAUCCGGAUGCUGACAGCCGAGAGCUGGAAACAAAUCAUCUCAUUGGUAAGUGAGAUCUUAUAUAGGAUGUGUUAGUACAUGAAUGUUGUAGGAGAUAGGAUUAGAUAAGCUCAACACCUAUAAUUUAUUCGACAUUGAACUAUUGCAGCUAAUAAAUUGUGCUUAUUUUUUUUGUAAAGCAAGGAAAGGUAAUAAAUGAGUCUUCUCGGUAUUAGUUAAUGUUUAAGAAUAAUCUAAUAGACUAAUGGGAGGAAGGGAAGGGGAAGGGAUGCGGUGGAGAAGAUUCGCAUGAUCCGGCUGUGGCAUCAGACAUGCACAUCCCAUGAUCUUGUCUGCCCACCUCUCAUGCCGAGAGCUUUGGUUUCCGAGACGCCUUCUUGGAAAAAGAACGGCACUAAAGGUAUUCUGGUCGCUAGACACCACUUUUUCUUCCAAUGCAGGGCUCUAGAAAGUGUUCUGGGUGGCGAAAUUCCCCUAUUAGAGAAAGAAUACUAUUCCACAAGUGUUUUAAGCAUAUAAUUAAGAUUCGUGCAACUUAGCAGAAUGCUAUCUCUACCUGAUGUGCUGGUUUGCUGGGGUUCAUGGACCCAAGUGGACAGAGCAAAUCUCGGAGCAUAUGCGCGGUGGAUAACGUGUAAUCGGGAAUUGGCGAAAUAAAAGGGGUAAUAUGGCGUGUUACCACCGUGGGAUUUGGCGUGGUCCAUUGUACCUGAUCAAAGUCAUUUUGCGUCCUCUCCGUUUUUUGGUCUCUCAAGAGGAAACUUCCUCGUACCGCGGUUGGCUAUCAUGGACACCGGUCCAACCGCAGCAAAAUCGACUGCAGUGGUUGGACCGGACGCUGCGAUCAACGAUCAACUCGGUUGGUCGAUUUUGGGUUGAGUCCAUGGGAGAAAUUAUUGAUCGAUCGGAUCCAGUGGACCGGUCGAAAUCUCAUGUACGGUGGAUAACAGGUUGAAUCUCAGUUUUGAUUUUGAUAGUUUAAAUAAAAGAGGGGUAAUGUGGCCAUUGGACUGGUCUACUGCCUCGGAUCCAUCUAAUAAUUUCUCAUUCCACGGAUCGCAGUGGAACAGAGAAUGCUGUCUUGCAGCGAAUAAUAUAUCGGCAAGUGUCCAUAUAUAUCAGCCUUUUUUGAGUGGGCCCGCGCCCGUAUCGCGUGGGUGGCUGGCAACCCCGCAUCCGACCACUCUCGACUUUUCUAGGUUGGCGAAGGCAUCAUUCCUCUGCGGCUACUCGCGGGUAUAUCUCGUGAGAAAUUAAAGAUAUCGAUUGCCGAGUCAUUGUGUCGUAAUUGAAGAUUCCUUGUGUGCAUCCAUCCGCGCGUAUGCCCACACAAGCAAAAAUAUAUUGGAAAACGCUAGAAAUGCUGAUCGUCCAAAAUGUGCAGUUACUGAAUUAACCUUAUUUGUAAUAGGAUUGUAAAGAUGUUUAGCAUUUAUAUAAGACAGUGUUCGCCACCAAUACAAAGAGCCUGUGACCAACAAACAAAAAAGAUAAAUGUUUAAUGAGCUGCAAACGCAUUCAAUUUAAGUUAAAAGAAGUUCUAACUUCAUAUCAGAUGGCUAGACAACAAAAAUAAUACCGUUUCUUGGAACAUUUUUUAUGACUUUUUUUUACAGCACUUAAUAGAAUAGCCCUAUAUAUAUUCGGUUAUGUUUCCAAUUUAUGUCCUUAUUCAUAUUGUUUUGUACUCCAUUUUUGUUCUCUGUUGAUUAUCAGGUCAUAUGUUAGUUUUUUUGGAUAACUGUAAAUUCAUUUUGACUUACAUAGGUUUGNNNNNNNNNNNNNNNNNNNNAAAAGAUAAAUGUUUAAUGAGCUGCAAACACAUUCAAUUUAAGUUAAAAGAAGUUCUAACUUCAUAUCAGAUGGCUAGACAACAAAAAUAAUACCGUUUCUUGGAACAUUUUUUAUGGCUUUUUUUUUACAGCACUUAAUAGAAUAGCCCUAUAUAUAUUCGGUUAUGAAAAAGAGAUCCAUCCAUCAGUUCUGCAAGUUUGGGCCUCUAGGUUUAUGUUUCCAAUUUAUGUCCUUAUUCAUAUUGUUUCGUACUCCACUUUUGUUCUCUGUUGAUUAUCAGGUCAUAUGUUAGUUUUUUUGGAUAACUGUAAAUUCAUUUUGACUUACAUAGGUUUGUACUGAACAUUGCUUCUUAUCGUUAAAUUAAUACAGCUUCGACCCUCUUCUUAACCAAAAAAAAAAAAAGAGAUCCAUCUAGAUAGUAAAUACUCAAACUCAUGUAAAUGAAAAUUAAAUAAAUAUCUACAUGAGAUAUCAAGAAAAUGCAUGUCUCGUCCACAUAAUUAUGGUCCAGACUAAUGCUAGCAAUUCAUGCAUGCAUGAAUGCAAAUAGAUCUUCCAUCUGCACGCCAGCAUUAUUUAUUUUUUCUUUGAUUGCCAGGCUAGCUGCUGGUUACCAUCUCUUUUGUUUCAGCAGUGCUGGGCUUAUGUUCUAUAAUGCAGACAGUACUCUUUAUUAAAAACCUAUGGGUGAUCAUUUUAUCAAAAGAUUAAAAAAUAAUAAUAAAAAAAAACAAACACAUCCAUGUUUCCGCUUUCGGUGCAUGGCUACAUUGCCUGUCCACCUGCACUAUUGACCCAGCGGCCGAAUAGAAUAUUUUGAUGCAUGCAUCCAGAUCAUGACCUCCCUCCACAAAGGAAGUGUUGAUACCUGGCCUAGCCGUAUGUCUCCACCGAUACAGCCGUAUGGUCUCAGCACUCUUGUCACAGCCAUCGCGUGCAAGCGUUUCGUGAGGCCCGCACAGCUGGACAAGUGGUAAGGUGGAUGAGAACCACAAAACGAUUGGGUGAUUCAUUCAUCCAUGAUGCAGCAAUCCCUUUUCAUGUCCUUUCUAGUAAUAUUAUUGGAGGCAUUCCACUUGCAAAAGCUUGCCUCAUUUUUGCUAACUUAAUCAGUGACUUGCAGGAGAUAUUUGGUUGGGAUAAUUAAGAUCUAAAAUGAAAAAUCAGAAUGAAUGAUUCUCAUUCCAACUAUUUGACUGGGGAGAAUUUCAUUCCGAUUACAUUUCAGAGAGGAAUGAAAAUGAUCCAUUCUUUUCGUAACCAAAUCUAAACUCAUCCCAAUGGAGUCAAUCUCAUUCCAGUGGAAUGAUAUAAAAAAAAAUCACGGUGACGAAUCCCAUGACAAUAAGAUCGCUCUUUUGGACAGUGAUAAAAAGGUGGAGGUGGUGGCUGGUGGCGAGACUUGCAACGGAAUCGGGAGAGGGGUGGAAGCACGGUUGAGGGGUGGAGCCCGACAAAAAUGAGCUCGUCGGGGGAGAGGCGGCUGUUGAAGAGGCCAUUGAAGGGAUGGCGGCUGCGGCUGCAUUGGAGCUGAGGCCGCUGUCAAAGGAGAGGCCCUUCUCGAGGUAGAGGGAGAGGCCGACAGAGCGGACAUCGAGGGCCUGCAUGGCAGCUAUGCUGGUGAUGCCGGCACAGUUCCAAAGGGGGUCACGGCUGAGCUUGGCGGUGGAGGCAGCGAUGCCAGAGAUAAAGAGAGUUUCGGCUAGAACGGCGGGGUCGAUCGUGAUAGUGAUGGUGUCAUCGAUGCCGUCGAUGGCGCAGCCUAGGAAGUCAAAAUCAGGGCCGAGGUUGGCGACAAUAGCGGGGCGAAGGCGGUGAUGGAGCAAAAGGCUGGGGAGAGGUUGUAGGGGGCUGAGGAGAGGUCGUCGGGGGCUAGGGUUUUGGAUGAAGUUUUAAAAAUCAGACGGAGAAGAAGCGAUGAAGAGGAGAGGGGGCGGCGGUGGAGGGGGUGGGGAGGUGUAGGAGGCACCUUGGGUCGGAGAGGAGAGGCAAGGGGGGCUGGUGGCACCAGAGUCAAGGGAGGGGAGGAGAGGGGGUUUGGUGGCACCGGAGCUAGGAGAGGAGAGGGGAGGAGGUUUUGUGGUCGUGCGGAGCUAGGUGCAAUGCGAACGGCAGGUGCAACAUGGAUGGCGGUGGGGUGGGGCCACGGCGGGGGCAGUGUGGUCACGGGAGGAGGGGGGUCUACGGUCGAGAAGAAGAAGCGCGGGGGGAGGCGUGCCUUCCUUCCUUCACCUUUCUUCUUCUUUUUUUUCUUUUCAUUUUCUUUUCUAUUUUUCUAUUUUUCUUUCACUUUCUUUUCUAUUUUUCAUAAAAUUAUUUAUAUUUUAUAUUUUAGGUCAUAAAAUAUUUCAUCUCUUAUUAUUAUAUUUAAUUUUUAUUUAAUAUCAAUUUUUAAAAUAAUUAAUUUUUAAAAAUUUUAAUUAAGAAUAAAAAUAAAAUUUUGAGUUGACUCUGAUUCCUAUCUUUAUAUGAACCAAGCAACAACAAUGGGAAUCAUCCAUUCUGAUUUCGAUUCCAAUCAUGAAUCAGACGCUUUGGAGAAUUAUGCCAUUUCAAUUCUGAUUCCAAUCCAUUCCAAUUUUCAUUCUGAUUCUAAUUCCUAUCGUGAACCAAACACCUCCGUAAAGAUGUGGCCUUCCUGAAUGGGAUUAGGAGGAAUUGUCGAUACACUAUGGUUGCUCCUAGCUGGGUCCCCGAAUUACGGAGAGUUUCAGCUCUGUGGCUUGGCCGGCACUCAAAUGGUGGCCUAAGGCCAGACUCAUUGUAGCUUAAGAUUUUUUUUUCCUUCAUAAGGAUAAUUUGUAUCAAUAACUGAAUCCAAGGAUGAAAAAUAACUCAUCAAUGAUCGAAACUCUAGACAAUUUUUCUUGUUUGUAUUCAACAAAAAUAUAGUGAUUAAAAUAUGUAUACAUUGAUAUAAGAGAAAGAAAGAUCUUGUUGAGAAUGUUGACUGAUAUGCAGUGAGUGAGUGUGUUGUUGAAACCCGAUACCGCUCUGAUACCAUAUUGAAAGAUCGACUUUCUCUGAUAUGGAUCUGAGGAGACCAGCGAUGGAUCUCUCUCUGCAAGAGUCCACAAUGGUCCAGACUCUUUAGGGAUAGUAACCAUCAAGCCCUAGAUUUGAGGCAUCAUUCUAGAUACCGCGCACCCCCUUCUAAAGAAAGGGGUGCGUGUGAUGCCUUGGGCGACAUGCAAAAUCAGGAAGAGAGACAGAGAGAAGGAAGAAAGAGUAUCUUUGAUUCUACUAUCAAUAUAGGGUUACCAUGUAUACAUAUAUAUACCCAUAUACAUGAACCAAAACCCUAACCCAAAACUCCAUUGGCUAACUCAUAUAUGAAGCACUCAUCCAAGCCCAAGUUUUGCAUGCUCUCAUUCUUUGCACUUAAUCCUAGUCCAAAUCCUUGGUUAGCCCCUUUAAGAUCUCUCAAACCAUGCCUUAAACCUCUAGGAUCAAAUCCAACUCGAAUCUCAAAUAGAAAAUCCGCACAAUUCUAUCCAUAAAACUGAGCUGACUCGAUCUCAGACUGAGCUGACUCAAUCUCAUACUGUGACUGAAUCGACUCAAACCAGAAUUGAGUCGACUCACCUGCAUGCCAGCCAUAGAUUUUCAAAAUCUGUCUUUCUGUUUGGCUACUUUCUCUAGACUUAGUCGAUUUAGUCUCAGUCCGAAUCGACUAAAACCUAGAAACUACUUUUUCCCUGCUGUCUUCAUCAUUGGCAUUGGUUCCUUGCUCCAUCUUGUAUCCUCAAGUCUUUGGAGCACCAACCAAGCUCCUCAAAGUCCUCAAUAUCUGGACCUCAAGCCCAUGGAGAGCUACAUGCCUCCACCCUAGGACCACUCUUAUCCUAGCCCUUAGGACCAUACCUGUCCUAGUCUCCCAAACAAAUAUCCUGACUCCUUUCGUGGCUUUCUAAAGCUUGAGAGCACCAUACCAACUCCUACAAUCUCCAUCUUGGUACCCCCAAGUCUUGGCAAACCUGAUAAUAUCCUCCUGCAUAAUUCAACUGUCGCUGUAUAUCCUAACAACCCCUUAUGCAAACAUCUUUGCCACCGUCAAUCUUCUUCAGCUUCUGAGCUCCCUUGGAGAUCUUUGGGAUGAUCGUCUCUAUAGUUGAAGAUCUUUGCUUGCUUUUUGACACCAUCUUGGAUCUUAUUGUAGGCUUCCUUCUGCUUGGCAGCUGCAUCACUUGCCUUGGAUUUUUUUUAGAGAGACUGCAGCAUUCCUAUGCCGAUACUCGCUGCAACUAAUGUUUCACCUAAUACAGUCUCCUCAGAGGCAUGCCUCUCCAUCUGUACACUUAGCUUCACAUGGCUCUGUGCAAAACAGACAUUGGUGCUGGGAUAUUGCUCUUUCUUUUGCAUCUCUUCACUCUGAACUCGUGCCAAAACACCCUCUCCACUUGUGAAGCUAUCUCUAUCUGAUGCUCUAUCUGAAUCUGAAGUCCAUAUAAUACUGUAGAAGUCAAUCUUGUAUCCGAGGCCAACCACCCAAUAUGGUCCUCUUGGGCCUGCUACUGCACCUCGAUCACCAUCGCUGCUCCUUCAGACUCAUCACACUCACGGAUCCCUUCGAAGCCGUUUCAAACCCUCCGCAUCCCGCGGGCUCCUCUGAAACCAACAAAAGCUCAUCCAACUCUUCUAAUUCAACAACUGAAAUUAGAAAACUGAGUCUUUCCUUUCUGCACCUGCACCAACCGUUACUUCAAUUUUUUCUGGAGGGACUGUAGCUCAAACCCUGUCUAAGCUUAGACCUAUCUAUCUCACCCGAAGCUCGUCAUAGCCUCCUCAAAGGUAUCCAGAUCUUUUCUUGCUACAAAUGAACCAUUUCACAUGUCUUUCCAAAGCCACGGCUCUCCAGUGCCCGCACAUCCCGCAUGAAAUCAUAUUGUGCAUCACCGCCACUGGUGCUGGAAUUUGGCUCCAUCUCUGCACCCUUUGGCUCUAAAUCUAUACCAAACCAUCCUCCAUCGAAAUGACAACUCCUCCUAGUGCUCCUGUAGAAAAUAAACUCUGAACCAAGGUUAGCUCCUCAACACAACCUUGUUGAGCCUCCUACUGAACCUCAACCACCAUUGAUGCCAUUUCGGAUCCUCCGCACUCCAUGGACCCCUCCGAAACUCACAAGAGAAACUCACCAUCCUCUGAACCAGCAGCGAUGCUCUGAGAAUCAAAUUCUUUACUUUCUCCAUUCACCUCCCAGGCUCCCGAUUAGUCGAACUACUGAAUGUACCCAAACUACUUUUCCAGUCUUUCUGCAUCCGAAGACUGAAUAGUUGCUUCUUCAUCUCCACCUCGACAACAAUCCCUUGGAUGAUCUCUCCUCCAACAUGUCAAAUCUAUCUCUUGUUGUCCAUCUUCCCUAAAGAACUUCAUCGCCUAACCGUCACACCCUCCAACCUUCUUCCUCCAAGGUCGGAUCCAACCGAAGUUGGAUCAAAAAAUCUACCAUCCAAACCUUCCAUCCCGAGAAGCAUUAAUUCCCAUCAAGCCUCUCAACCUUCACCUUCAACCUGCUACUCCUGGUUGGCCAAACCACAGCAAAAAAUGAAGAUAGUUCUGAGGCAUACUGUUAAAUAGAUUUGCAAAUUUCUGAUUCAUCCUGUAUGACUUCUUCCUCAUUUUCAUGCUUCACCAGACUCUGAUACCAUAUUGUUGGACCUUAGCCCCCAACCAACUUUUCAAAAGAUAAUUGCCUAAGGGAAAGUAGGAUUUAUUAGUCUUUAUUAACUGCACAGAACUUCGCAUCCUUGAGUUGACCCACAUCAAACCAGAUCAUCCUCAUGCGGUAGGCCGGAUGGUCAAUCUCAUUUAAUCCUACCAACCCACAAGACUUGUUGCUACAUUAUCAGCCACCUUUUGACUAUUAUCAGCCAUCCUCUGGCUAGCAACCCCUCCCUAGAUCCCACCGGGUGUGCGCUGGUAUAUGGUCAAUAAUCUCCCCCCUCCCAACAACACUCAGGGGGUCUGUUAAGUUUCGAGUCUGCAACCUCGCUCUGAUACCAUGUUGAAAUUCGAUACCACUCUGAUACCAUAUUGAAGGACCGUCUUUCUCCCACGUGGACCUGAGGAGACCAGCGAUGGAUCCCUCUUUCCAAGAGUCCAUGACGAUUCAGACUUUUUAGAGACAGCAACCAUCAAGUUUUAGAUUUGAGGAAUCAUUCUAGAUACCGUGCGCCCUCCUUCUAGGGAAGUUGGCGCGCAUGAUGCCUUAGGCAACGUGCAAAACCAAGGAGAGAGAUAGAGAGAUAAGGAAGAAAGAGCACCUUUGAUUCCACUAUCAAUUUAGGAUUACAAUGUACACAUAUAUACUCAUAUAUAUGGACCAAAAUCCUAGCCCAAAACUUCCUCGGCUAACCCAUAUAUGAAAGCACUCACCCAAGCCCAAAUCUUGCAUGCUCUCAUCCUUUAAAUCUAAUCUCAGUCUAAAUCCUUAGUUAGUCCUCUUAAGAUCUAUCAAGUCAGGCUUUCAGAUCCCUAGGAUCAAACCCACCCUAAUCCCAAAUAGAAAAUUCAUAUAGUUCUGCCCGCAAAACUGAGCUGACUCAAUCUCAUAUUGAACUGACUCAGUUACGGUGACUGCGUCAACUCAAACUAGAACUGAGUCAAUCACCUACGUGCCAGCCAUAUGUUUCCGAAAUCUGUCUUUCUGUUUGAUCACUUUUUUUGAGAUUUAGUAGACUUAGUCUCAGUCUGAGUCGAUUAAGAUCCAGAAACUAUUUUUUUCUUACAGUCUUCAUUCUUGGCUCUGAUUCCUUGCUUCACUUUAUAAUAUCUCCAAAUCUUUGGAGCACCAAUCAAGCCCUUCAAGAUCCUCAACACCUGUACCUUAAGCCCGUGGAGAGUUACAUGUCCUUCAUCUUGGGACCACUCUUGUCCUAGCUCUUAGAACCACACCUAUCUUAAUCUUUCAGAGCCAAUCCUUUGACUCUUCUUGUGAUCUUUCAAGACUUGGGAGUACCAUACCAACUCCUACAUGUGUAUGUGUGUGCAUUGAUAUAAGAGAAAGGAAGAUCUUGUUGAGGAUGUUGACUGAUAUGCAGUGAGCGAGUGAGUGAGAGUAUGUGUAAUAUUUAUUUUUUCUUUCUUUCCAUGGUUGCAUAUUUGUUAGUCUUAAUUCUCAAAAAAGGAGGAGAAGGAGAACAGUGCCAUUCGAAUAUUUUGAAGCAUAACCAUGUGGAUUUGAUGCUGAUGAUUAUCUGACUUUAUGCUAGCUACCAUAUAUAAUAGGUUGCACCACAGCAUGAUGAUUCGAUGCAUGGUUUAUGCUUCAUUGUGACUUGACGCUCUUUAAAUUGUUUGCUCCAUGUUUAAUGUAAUAGUCACAACCUUCUGUUAUCCAUUCAUUAUCAUCAAACUUCUACCACCAUUAAUAACUCUGUCGAUAUUUGUGGUCAUCAAUUGAAACACCAACUGAUUGUCGUUGAUGAUUGUUUUAGAAUUAUACAAGCACCACAAGGAUAUUGUAUCACUUGCAUAUAUAGCUAUGGGGCCGUCGUAGUCCUUAUCUUUGUAUUUCUUUAAUUGCCUUACUUUUGCUUCAAGGGCUGCUGGAAUUUAAGUAAGGCUCACUUUCUGCUUGACAAUAUGGCUUCCAACCAUAUCCAUGUUUUUUAGUCCAAAGAAACUGCAUAACGUGAUACGAGAUCCUCAUCGAUCCAUUGUGGCCUCUUGCGACCCUCAUCCAUUAUAGCCGGCCACUCGAUGACGACCCCCACGCCACUCACACUACCAAAUCUUCUCCCGUGGACCAUCCCCAUAACUAGGUAGCCGUAACGUCAAACAAAACAACAAACGAACAAACACCAGACUCCAGACCCCUCUCUCUCUCUUUUUUGAGGUAAACUACAGACCUCUCUCUCUCUCUCNNNNNNNNNNNNNNNNNNNNNNNNNNNNNNNNNNNNNNNNNNNNNNNNNNNNNNNNNNNNNNNNNNNNNNNNNNNNNNNNNNNNNNNNNNNNNNNNNNNNNNNNNNNNNNNNNNNNNNNNNNNNNNNNNNNNNNNNNNNNNNNNNNNNNNNNNNNNNNNNNNNNNNNNNNNNNNNNNNNNNNNNNNNNNNNNNNNNNNNNNNNNNNNNNNNNNNNNNNNNNNNNNNNNNNNNNNNNNNNNNNNNNNNNNNNNNNNNNNNNNNNNNNNNNNNNNNNNNNNNNNNNNNNNNNNNNNNNNNNNNNNNNNNNNNNNNNNNNNNNNNNNNNNNNNNNNNNNNNNNNNNNNNNNNNNNNNNNNNNNNNNNNNNNNNNNNNNNNNNNNNNNNNNNNNNNNNNNNNNNNNNNNNNNNNNNNNNNNNNNNNNNNNNNNNNNNNNNNNNNNNNNNNNNNNNNNNNNNNNNNNNNNNNNNNNNNNNNNNNNNNNNNNNNNNNNNNNNNNNNNNNNNNNNNNNNNNNNNNNNNNNNNNNNNNNNNNNNNNNNNNNNNNNNNNNNNNNNNNNNNNNNNNNNNNNNNNNNNNNNNNNNNNNNNNNNNNNNNNNNNNNNNNNNNNNNNNNNNNNNNNNNNNNNNNNNNNNNNNNNNNNNNNNNNNNNNNNNNNNNNNNNNNNNNNNNNNNNNNNNNNNNNNNNNNNNNNNNNNNNNNNNNNNNNNNNNNNNNNNNNNNNNNNNNNNNNNNNNNNNNNNNNNNNNNNNNNNNNNNNNNNNNNNNNNNNNNNNNNNCUCUCUCUCUCUCUACCUUUCUCGGCCUUUUGGCUAAGAUCAAGUGUCUGACGCCUCUCUCUCUCUCUCUCUUCGUGCCUUUGGCGUUCCGUUAGGGAGGCCGCCUGCCACUCGGCCGUGCCUUUGUCUUUUUUUAUGGUCUUCCCACAUUUUAUUACCACAAAAGUAGGCAACAAAUGUUCAUUGUACACAUGCCGGUUUUCUCUCGAUCGUGGGGGUCCCCCUCAGCCCGCCCGCCCGCUUCCGAUGGUGUGUUCACACCAACAAACUGCCAACGCUCGUUGCCCGGGACUCGGAUUUUUAGCUCUGAGUGCAAGCUUGGGUGAGAUCGAUUGAACAUGACCCAGAAAGGAGGGAAGCUCAUCCUAAACUGCCCAGAAAGGAGGGACCACGGUAGGUCCCAUGCAUGUCUUUGCUCCAUUUCCCGCAUCCAAAUAUGGGAGGUACGUUGUGGUGCACUGAUACCUGAAUGCCAUUCAUCUCAACCAUCUUAGAAUUCGAUUGCUUUGCGGAAAGAAUAGAAUUCACUUAAAUAUUUUUUUGAAAAUAACUGAUAUAUGGAUAUAUAAUAUCUGAAAAAUAAUAAUUUUUAUAUAUUUGAUUGAUCAUAAAAAAAUAUAGUAUUCUAAAGCUGCUUAUAUUUGGUUGACCAUAUAUUGUAUUAGAAAAGUUGAAUAAAAUACAUGUUAUACCCUUAAUAAAAAAAAAAAUCUGAUCAUAUUCUAUUUAAAAGCUUAAAUGUGUUUUUGAAAAAAACAAAAACUAUCACAAUUCCCAGUCGGAGGGAAUUAUUCUGAUCACAUGAUGUUUUUUCAUAAAUAUAAAAAUUUUAUUAUCACAUGAAAGCUACUUUUCCAGCUCUUUUUUUAAAAACUCUAACCAAAUAUGCGGUAUUUCUACAUUUUUUCAUUGACCAUAUUUCCCUCCUCCUACGAAUCAAACAGUCCUUAGUGCAAAAUAUAAUUUGGUCUCAUUCAAAUAUAUAUCUAACUGCUGCUUCCAACCGGAAGUCUGAAAAUAUCUUAAAAAAGCAACGAGAGCUUGGCCCUAAUUACAAUGGGUAAAAGAGGUCUUAAAUUUGAAUCCUAUCGCAUUCCUCAGCCUACCAUUUGAUAACAUCCAUUAAACAAUAUUGCGAGAGAUGCAACAGUGUUGGUUUUAUUCUGUGUUUCAGCAUGUACGUCGUUAUUUAAAAUUGAUUUCAUGCUUGAUGGAGAAUGAAGUUGUAAGCCAAGAUAGGGCAAUGACAUGUUCCAAGAUGGCCAAUUACCAUGACUCGAAUGCACCAAGGACAAGUUCUGGUUCCUAUAAACAAGGCUUAACGCAGAGGUAGUAACAAGUUGGGCAUCGUUGUAUCCAACUAAGCGGCUCACUUAAUUAGAAAAAGAAGAUUUUUAAUGUGCNNNNNNNNNNNNNNNNNNNNNNNNNNNNNNNNNNNNNNNNNNNNNNNNNNNNNNNNNNNNNNNNNNNNNNNNNNNNNNNNNNNNNNNNNNNNNNNNNNNNNNNNNNNNNNNNNNNNNNNNNNNNNNNNNNNNNNNNNNNNNNNNNNNNNNNNNNNNNNNNNNNNNNNNNNNNNNNNNNNNNNNNNNNNNNNNNNNNNNNNNNNNNNNNNNNNNNNNNNNNNNNNNNNNNNNNNNNNNNNNNNNNNNNNNNNNNNNNNNNNNNNNNNNNNNNNNNNNNNNNNNNNNNNNNNNNNNNNNNNNNNNNNNNNNNNNNNNNNNNNNNNNNNNNNNNNNNNNNNNNNNNNNNNNNNNNNNNNNNNNNNNNNNNNNNNNNNNNNNNNNNNNNNNNNNNNNNNNNNNNNNNNNNNNNNNNNNNNNNNNNNNNNNNNNNNNNNNNNNNNNNNNNNNNNNNNNNNNNNNNNNNNNNNNNNNNNNNAACACAUCAUCAUAUGAUGACUUAAGAGUAAAGUCGCGACGGCUUUGCUUUUUCCACCCCACGCUUGCAUACCACGGAUGAUGCAUGAAUGAUUAUGCUAAUCCAAAGCCUUAAGUCACUUGGUUACGACUAGGUCAGCAACAACUUGAAGAGAUCUUCAUACUUUUAUCCAUAUUUUUUAUUUGAAUUGGAUAGAACCAGGUGGUUGGUAGGCUUCAUACAGAAAAAAGAGGUUGCUCGUGCUCUUAGUUUACUAGCCAGCGUUAGCUGUAACCAUAAUGCUUCCACUAGUCACUUCAUGGAAGAAAGGAAGAUUCGUUGAUAUAUAAUUAAACCAUAGGAAGUGUGUUGUGGUACCCAUCAUAUCAAUGGACCCUGAUUGAUUUUCUUUGGGAGGUCUAUUUUUCGGUUAGAUGGUUGGCAAUUGAGCUAAUGAUAAGUACUGGCUCAGAGUUCCAUUAAAUUGUUUCCAGUCAAAAGUUUAAUAACAUGCUAAAAAGAUAUGAUAAGAAGUGGAGAAGACUUUCAUAGUCAGUUUGCCUAUUCUACUGAAUAGUUGGAGAUGAUUAACCUAAUCAGCAAACUUCUCUGCUUCAUCUUCAGAUGAGGAGACUGACUUGGAUGGCUUCUGAGAAACUAUUAUAUGUUAAUUCAAGCUUUUUCUUUCCCCAUAUUUUCACCCAAUGGUCGUCUAAAUAGUUUAUAUAACCAGAAUUUUCAUUGUCAUACGAAACUGUAUGAGAAUUAUCAUGUGAAUUUUGAGGAUUCACCAUUUUUCCAUGUUUUUAUUUUUUCUUUUUAUAAUGACAACAAGGCAUUUAACAUCCAUUUAACUGGAAGGAAAUAUUCAAAAGUUGGUAGAGCAUUUUGGAAAAAAUUUUCCUUCCACAAACACCCUUAUUUCAUCUUUAUUUUCUGAAAACAAUUAGCCCACCACGAGAGCUCACAGGCUUGUUAAAUUGUGUCUAAACAAUGUCAAAUAGCAAUAGACCAUGUCUUGUGCCAAUCUGAGUUAUUGGAGGAGAAAAAAAACUACAGGGCGCUCUCUAUGGAUUUGAGUUGUAUCUUUCACGUGAAAGAAUGACCCACCUUCUUUCACCACGUGUAGCUUUGCACAUCCAUAGAAGCACUCUAAUCUCCCUUAUCCAUCUAUCCGCACAGAUCUCAAAAUGAUUAUUGCACGAUCCAAUAGUUAACAUCAUGAAAGAAGAUCAAUCAAUCAUUCUAAAGAUACAAUGUGAGCCCAUUUCCCAUUGGCAUGCUGGUCUUCAUCAUAACAUAUCUAAAACCGAACAACGAUGUGACUUGGCUUUCUACAACUACCAUAGGUACAUCAAACUGCCUUUUUACCGAGGCUACUUUGCCUUCCAUUUUCCUUCCUUGGGAGUGCAAUACCUUUUGGCUUAGCUUGAGCUAAUGCUCCACCUUGACUUGUAUCAAUAAAGUGACUUAUUAUCUCAACUGAUAGAAUCCAAGAUGUCAGCCGACUCACAUUGAUCAAUAUUUUUCAAUUAUUUUUUACUUCCUCAAACAAGCUUUUAACUACUAGACCUCCAAAUCAAUACUUAUGGUUAAUCUUGGAUUUACCGUAAAACUCAAGAUUUCGAUAUCUUGAUCUGAAAAUAGAGCAAGAUCUUGGAAAAUCUUGAUUCCACUAAAUUAUCUCAGCCGAGAUAAAUUGACAUAAUGAGUCAUCAUGGUCACUUUCAUCAAGAUAAUUGAUGCAUCGAGACUUUAAAAUCUUGGUUAUACUUCUCUCUCAAUCGUGCCCCAAGUGAUUAUAUAAUAUCAAGAAGCAGUCUCCCGAUGAUAAUAUAACGAAUAGGAUCCUUUGAUUGGCCUCCCUCCUAUCCCUCCUUUUUAAUAAGAACAUUUAAAAAAAGGCUGAAUAAAGACAUCCAAGUGGCCCAUGAGAUUCUGGAUGAAACUUAAGCCUUAAUGGCCGCCACAAGCAUAGAACAUUAUCAGUUUAUCACCCAUCAAGUUAUAUUGUUCAGAUUGGAAUAACUUUUAUAAGAUUUUAAAAGCACCAAAAGAUGUCACGAGGUCCACGCCCUGCAAUGUUUGGACCCUAAGUUCAAGAUUCAGACCAAAUUCUAGCCCGUAUUUUAGAAAUUUGAGCUAAAGUUUUAAUCAGGAAGCUCAUUGACUCACAGGUAGCACCAUCAUGAUCCCAUCCACCAUUUGUUGCCGUCAUUUUGAACGGAGAUGACUUCGAUGAGUGACACAAGUCCCACAAAUUAUAAGCUGAUAGCUACUGAGUGAUUUUCUAAAUUUUCAAAGACAUGACUCGACAAUCGAAACGACAUGCGUCCGAUUAGCAGUACUUGCAUAGGGGUAGCAUUAUCAAACCAUGCUACCUAGGUAGCAUUUAACUCGUGCCCCUUUUUUUUCUGACCCUUUGGAGGUCUUCUCCAGCAUGAGAUGAUACAUGACGCCCCCACUGUUAUUCCCACCCCACCCCGCCCCCCCCAAAAAAAAGAAAAAGAAAAAGGGAAACCAAGUCCUCAUUGUUCACUUUGUGGCUAUACAAUUUAGCUAUUGGACCUGGAUCUAAAUGCCUUCUAUGGAAACCUACUCGGGAAAUCUGGAAAAGAACCAUGAAUAGUAAUGAAAGGCCAGCAGGAAAUGGGAUAGAUACACGAGAUAAAAAAGAUGCAGUAGAAUUUGCAGCAUAUACAAAGAUUACUACAUAACUUUUAGGGUACAUCUGAUAUGACUGUAAAAAGCCUGGCCUUUGGUUGUUACUGUUUCAGUCACCAUGUUUAUAGGGGCACCACCAAUCAUUGAAUUGAUCAAAUGCCGGAAAGGCUAACCUGGAGAGCAUCCCUCAAUUUCUCUUGGUUUUCUUGAUAUGCCACCAUGGGUAUCAUUUCGCCAUCCUGGUUGUUGGAUGGUUCAGCCCCCUGGUCCAUCCAGUCCCAAAACCUGAACAUUUCCUUAUAGUUUCAAGUGUUAGCAAACAAUUUAUCAGGAGCAGCAGUGACAAGAAAUAUUAAUAUCUAAACAUAUUCUUCACAAAUGGAAGUCACAAAUUUGAUGAGUAGGUAGAUUGGCACCAGCAUGGACUGGCUAUUUUGAGCUGCAACAGACUAUCAUAUGUUUACAUCAAUGAUAUAUACAGGAAUUGCAUAAUGAAUAAGCUGUUCUCGUGCGAUGAACAAGACCACUUAUAUUUUGACUAUGGCUGCUCAUGUUAUUUUGCCUGUCCUUUUGAGGCUAAGUUCAAGGCUUUGAAAAAAUUGAUGAAAUCAAAACUUUGCCACUACCAUUACCAAAAGAGAAUGUACUAGAAUUUUAAGGCAAAAGAUGAUCUUCAGUGACAAGCUUAGAACCCAAAUCUGCAAUGGCCACAUAUAAAACAAGAGAAGAUAGAGGAUGUGCCGAGUGUUAUCACUUUUCUGUUUUGGGAAAAAGAAAAAUAUGCCAUAUGCCACAUAUGCACUUUUGAAUUCAGAUUCAGAUAGAGUGCACUUGUAAUAUCAUGAGCAGCUUCACCAAACAAUGUGUGAGAAUAUGAAAAGAAUGAACUUGAAUACAUGCAGCCCUCCAAUCAUAAAAAAAGCUGCAUGGCAUGGAAAGCUUUGAAACUUGUCCAUAGAUCUAGUUAAUGGAAUCUGGCAUUUAAGUAUACAUAUAUACCAGCAAUAAUGUGGAAGAUUACACAUAAGCUGAAACAAGGUCUGCAAAAGUAGAUCUAAUGCCACAUGCACCUGAAUUACCGAUGCAAGUUUAUCUUCCCACUUUCAGGCCUUCAGAAGAAACAAUCUAAACCAUCAAAUUGACAUGCCAAAUAUAAUUUGAGGGAAUAUCAAUCAUAGGGAAAAAAAACUUCUAGACUGGACAUAAUAUGAGCAGUUGACAUAAUAAAUGUUGGCAGGAGGAAACUAAAAAAUAUAAAAUAAAAUAAAAUGCACGAAUAACCCCUAUUAGCAUUAUCAAGAUUUAUUCUUCCACUGUAGAAGAAUAUAUUCAAGGGCCAAAGUCAGCAAACACACAAUUGCUGGGCAUUUUUUAAUUGAAGUAACACUUGGUGAUAUCCCUUGGCAUUGCAUAGUGCCAGAUAAUCCCAGCUUGACAGGAUACGGGGAUCUCAUCAUAGGAAUAAAGGUAAUAAAGGUGAUAUUAUUAUCUGAUCUUACUUAUCUUUGCAGCUUUAUGUUUAUAUCCACUGAUGGAUGCAUCAUCCAAUGACUGGUCCACAGUCAAACUAAACAACAUGUAACUUUUCUAAUGAUUAGGUCUUCUGAUAUGUAGGCAAAACACAUGGCUCAGGGUUCCUCAACUCUAAUUCCAAAAGUCAAUAGGCAUCUAUAAAGAGUUAAUGGGCCUAGGAAAAAAUUCAACAAGAAAUGUUUUUGAGACAUGCAGGAGCAGGGCUAUUUGAAUUGUCUAAAGAACAAAUUACAACAAAAUUUGCUUGUUGUGAUAUUGGUGCCUACUCUGGUGCAUAGAAUAUUUUGAAAUAACUGGUCUUCGUUUGUAUAAACAAAUUGCUGUCAAUAAAAAUCAAGUAACGAUGGAGAGAAAAACUUGGGAAAAAAACAUGCAAUGAGAAGAGAGCAUGCCUCUAUUUACAGAGUGAAGCAAGAAUGCGCCGAGGAGGAUCAAAUGAUCGCCGUGAGUGCAAAACAGCCAAGUUGUCCAACAGAAGGAUGUCUCCCCUCUUCCAAGGUAUAGCAACAGAUUCCUCUUCAAGGAUUUUUAAACAUUCAUCUAUAAUAUCAGCAGGCAAGGGUGUCCCAUCUCCAAAAGUAACUGCUUUGACAGGAUCAUUGCGAGCAUCCUUCCAACCAGUAUAAGCAGCCACCAUGCUAUUAAACCAUAUUUUUCGCCCUCUAGUUUCAUCAAGUUUGAUAGCUGGUAUUGGACCCAUUAUUGUUUUUACACCAUCCUCCAUCCAUUCCAACUUCAUCCCCAGUCGAGCAGCCCUAAUACAUUUGGAAACCACUGUAUCAAGAUCAAAUUCCAAUCUCAGUGAGCAUGAUAUCUUGAAGAACAUACAAUGUAGUGUCCGGAAGAAUAUGUAGGAAAUCUGUCAUCCAUAUGACCACUUGAGGAUUAAAAUGACAAAGAAGGCAUACAGAUCUGUCAUCCAGUAGAAAGGACAUAAUGCAUGUGGGAAAUACUCCAAAGACAAUUUGCAAUGCCACUCAAAAAAUUUUCUGGAUUUCAGCUUUGUGUCUGACUUUGAUCUCUCAAUUGAAGUCAAGGGAAGAGAUUCAAAGAACCAAUCUGAGCUGAAGGUUUCCAGUUUCCUUGGUUUUGCUAAUGUAAUGCAUAAUGCCUUAAUAUUUGUGAGCAUCAGAAGCAUAAUCUAUUUUUGGAAAUGAUUUAAAAACGAGUCAGUUAAGGUCACUAUAUUUUCAUGAAACAAAGAUUUUGUUAGUCGUCUCAACUUUCAACAUGGUUGGAGUUAACCCCUCACCCCCCUUAUUUCUAUGGAGUCGGCACAUACACUCGCCAUGGAACAAGUUGUGCAGUGCAUUUAUAUAAAUUUAGUACACAUGAUUAAAUGGGUUAUGUAGGAUUUCUUCUCCUAAGACCUAUAUAAUACCAAGCAGGAAUGAAUUGAUCAAGAUAAAACUGUUGCUCUUUAUCCGUGCAGUUGUAUUGGUAGGUAGCAACUAGUGGUUAGCAUUUCUCGUAUGUGCUAUAAGAAAUCUAAACAUCCGAUUGAACUGAACCUAUGCUUAGCCGGGCAUGCUCAAAUUGCAAUAUGUUAUUUCGGGUUAAUCCCCCAGAUCCAAUUAUUUUCUCCUCUAACUUCUUUGCAACCCAAAAGAACAAAAUUCAUAAGACCAAAGGUCAAACAUGACUUAAAUCAAGGAAUAAUCCAAUAUUCAAAUAGGUAAACACAGUUUUUAGUUAUCUUUUAGUUUUCUUGGUUCUAUCAUGGUUGUAUUAAUGAGUUGCAGUUUAUGCAUAUUAUUAAAAGUGGUCCCAUUUACUUGGCUAAUGUUGCACAAUAUGCGCUUUAUUUAGAUUCAAAAACAUGCUUUUCUUGUUACAAGUUCUAGACAACCUUCAUAUACACAUAAACCAAAAACACGGGUUAUUACUGUGCACCAUCGGUUUGUGAGCCACCAUAAGUUUAUGCACUUCCAUGACUAUCAGUUUAUGCAAUUCCAGACCACUACAUACAGUUGAUUCAACAAUCGCUAAUAAAAAUCAUACACCAUGCAAGUGGUAAAUAGAACUAAGUCUUUUUUUUUUUGCGAGAACUAAAACUAAGUUAUUAAACAUUAUGCAGCACCAUAUAAAUAUUGAGAGAGAAAGAGAGGGAACUAUUGAAUCAAAACCAAUGUAACUUAAACCAUAUAAAUUAUCAUCCAUGAUAAGAUGAAUAAACCACCGAAACUACCAUAUCUAAGCAAUAGGAAUAAAUGGCGAACCUCUCCUCAGCUAUGCUUUUGUCUUUGGUCAAGAACGUCGACUGCCAUCCACGGCCGAUUGGAGAAGAAGGGUCAUCUCCCUCCCCUAAUAUUCUUGUGUAUAUUAGACCAUGCUUCUCCAAUUUUUCCACAAAUUCUGGGUAUCUGGCCUUCAUCCUUUCAUAAACAUAGUGGCUCAACACGAUAGGAGUCUCGCCACCACUUCUUGGCUCCUCCUCACAAAAGAAGAACAAUUUCGACGGAAACUCAGGAACCUGAUGGAACAAAGUAACUAUUCUAUUACAAAUAUGUGGUUUUAACUUCUGAUAACGUCGCAAUUACAAGGAUGGAAGCAUAGAUAGGGAUUAGAGGAACUAAACCUGGGCCAUCUCGUGGUGGAAGGGGAUGGGCUGGUCGGGAGGGGACUCGUUGGCGGUGAAGACCCGACCGACGACGUUGGUCCGGGGGGCGGCGCCGCCGACGUAGGGCAGCUCCUCGUAGCCGAAGGCUUCCACGGCCCGGUCGAAGUCGGCGGCAGUACGGACCGGGUAGCCCCGCAGUAGGAGCGCCCCGCUCGACCGGAGGAGCGCCUCCAGCUGGGGCUUGUGGCCCUUCACGGCCUCCGUGAACUGGCGGAGGUCGAGUUCGACGGCCGCCUUCGGGGACACGACUGCGGGAAAAAGAACCCCUCCAACGUUCUUCCGCUGCGGGAUUGGGGUUUCCAGGAACAAAUCUGCGGCUCCGGCCAUUGGUUUAUGUUCGGCUCUUCUUUGCUGGGGUGGGGGGCAGGGGAGGGUAGGAGGGAACACCCAAAAGCCGGAGCCGACGUUAUCCUUGGAAACGAAAUAUCUCAAGCGAAAUUCUUUCUGCACCGCGGUGCAGAAAACCCGACGUGGAAUGCACCGUCUCGUCCGCUUGAUCCAUACUGUCACCACCGCCCAGUGCGUAGAUUGAUUUUUUAUUUAAAAAUUUUAUAUGAUAAGAUUAUUUUAUUUUAAAAAAAUUAUAAUAUUUAUUAUUUAUUAUUAUAAUAUUUUAUUGCUCUAUAAUAUGUNNNNNNNNNNNNNNNNNNNNAUAUUUUAUUUUAUUUUAUUUUAUUUUUUUACGUAAUUUACAAGCAAUGUUUUUCCAAUGAGGGACCUAUACCUAUACGUAAUUUUUCCUGCCUUAAGUUGAUUUGUCGGCUACGGUGCUUUCAUAAGUGGCGUCAGCGAAACGCGACUGCUUCGCUCAGGCGAUGUAAGUGCCAGGGGGAGGGGAAAUUAUUGGGAGGGGUCUUCUUCGUCUUUCUUUCUUGGAGGCGCGGUGGCGAUGGCGGCGGAGGAGAGGCUGAGCAUCUACCGUGCGACGAGGAUCAUAAAGAAGAGGGAGAACUCCCGCCUCUACAACGCCCUCCGCUCCAUCUACGAGGAUUCCAUCUUCAUCGCAGAGAUCGCCGGGCUCUGGCGGGACCUCCCCCUCCUCGCCAACCUCCGUUGCGGCCUCUGGUACUCCCCCCGAUUCGAAGCCACCUGCUACUUUAAGUCCACCGAUGGCCAUACCAACAACUGGUCCUUCAACACCUCGCGACUCAACCUCCAUGUGGCCCAACUCGCUGGUAAUUCAAAUCCAUCGCUACUUCAUUUUUCCCCAAUAAAUAGCGGAAUUCGUUGUUAUUCUUGUAUUCUAGAUGGAUUUCUUGGAAAUCUAGGUGUUCUUGUGUCUUUGAUUGGAUUGUGAUGGUUUUCUUUUGGAAUAUUGGGCUCUUCAUAAAAAGAGGGAAUCGGAGGGAGAUCAAGACUCUUUUUGGGUUAGGGCAUCAAAAAUCUUGUGCAGUUUUUAGUNNNNNNNNNNNNNNNNNNNNNNNNNNNNNNNNNNNNNNNNNNNNNNNNNNNNNNNNNNNNNNNNNNNNNNNNNNNNNNNNNNNNNNNNNNNNNNNNNNNNNNNNNNNNNNNNNNNNNNNNNNNNNNNNNNNNNNNNNNNNNNNNNNNNNNNUGAAAUUUGUAUGCUAGAUAGAGGACCUCAGUUCAUUUUCUUGUGAUUUUGCUGUUUAUGACGGGUAGGGCAGCGAGGAGGGUGUAUUAUAGUGGAUUCCACCCGUAGAGGGAAACGGUUUCCAGAUAGCAUGUCGAAGACAAUACCCAUAUGGACGUGUUUGUUAAACCGAGCAGUCAAGAAUUGUUUGCUGAGAAUGUCCGCGGAAAGCCAAAGAGAUGGUGAAUCGGUGAGUGUAGAUUAUUAUAAACUGGAUUCUUGAUUUAAUGUUCCUUCAUGUUUUAUUUUCAUUUUUAAACUGUUGAAACAGAACUGCACUCAGAUUCUCAGAAGCAUAAUUAGCUCGUUUUUGGCAUUGGUUUUAGAUUAAGUAACUUCCUCAAGGUUUACACAAGCUUGGUUCUUUUAUAUGCUGUUGUGCCUGUUUUAUCGUGUAUCUAAUAUAUGACUUAUGGUACGAGUCACUUUGAAUGCCAUUAACAUGCAGAUCUAUUGUUUCAUGACUCUACUAUAGCACUUCAGAUGAUAAGUGUUAAUUCCUAUAUUCGUUUUUUAUAAUUUCCCAAAUUUUUAAUGGUCCCCAUGAAUUGGAUGUCUUUUAUUAUAUCACUAUUCUCAUACUUUUUGGAGGUUCUCAUAAAUGAAGUAACUUGAGCAUCAUCUAAUCCUCAAAACCAUGGAAUGCUGUCAUGGUAUUGGACCCCAUUCUGGUACCAUUCUAUUAUAUUGUUGGGACAUUUGGUAUAGGCUGGUUCAGUGUACCGAGUAUUGGUAUGCCCUCCAUACUGCAUAUUAGUUCAGUACCGGUAUGGUACGAUGCGGUUGAUAUGCAUGGUUAUUGAUCGGUAUGGCAAACCUUGCUCAAAACUUGUGAAAGUAGUGAAAACCGGUAUCACUUUAUAAGAAGGGGAAAAAUGCAAAGAAAAAAAUGUUGCUCAUAUAAAUUAUGAAUCUCUGUGAAAAUCUGUCCAAUUAUAAUAAUUAUAGUAUCUUUUGCAAUUCAUUCUGUUAGUGUCUAUAUAAAGGCAUACUUUCCAAUAAUUAUUAUUAUUUUGUAGCAGUCAAACUGUUCACCUAAUGAAACGGCAGAUGUGAGGCUACUCUCUGAUGAUUGGGAUAGCUCUUUGCAUCUUCCGCUAUGGGUCCCAGAUAUUGAGAAGGCAGCUAUAGAGGGACACAUUGAAGAAUGGACCAAACAGUUGGAAGCUUGUGGUGCUGAUAUUCAUUCUCUUGCAUCAAUCAUAAGAAAACCCCUGCGCCCCUUGUGGAUUUCUCAAAAGACUCUCAUCUGGCUGAAUGAAGUUCCCGACUGUAAUUCUUGGGACUUCACACCCAUCAUCCUCGUUUCAGCAUCUGCUUCAGAUGGAAUAGCUCAGCAAAGAUCCAUGUCACAAUUCAGCUGGCAUUAUAUUCCUGGAGCAGGAGAUGAUGAAGAGAGCUGGGCGCGGGGUCUAUCACCUAAUCUAUUUUGGAAGCAUACAUUUGAGCUGAUAGAUUCUGGUCCCGAUCUCUGCAAUCAACAAGUUGCUGAACUAGUUGAAAAGGAAAGGGUAUAUCGAGCACAAAGGGGUGAAUAUUCACCUCAAGUUACUGUCAAGCUGCAUCAGAAAUUCUCAGGAAACAACCAUUCCAAUAUUAAUGGAGAAUCUAUUAAUUCUCGUCAGUUAAUGGGCUCUAAAAUUUUCAUCAAUUCCAUGAAUACAACAUCUUCUGAUGAAAGGCAUCCCAUCUUUUGGCUUGGCUCAACAAAUCUUGCAGUGGCAGCGACCUUACAUGGUAUGGUAUGCCUUUCCUUGGUCUUUUAUCUUGUAGAAAGCACAUGAAUAUGCACAUAUUUCUGAUGUUCAUUUCUUUAAUUUUGCUAAAUUUCCUUUGGAUUUAUAAGCCCUGAGGCUGCGAAGAUUCACCUCUAUAGGCAGUAUGGUUGGCAUUUGAGCCAGAUCUGUACUUUUAGUUCGAAACUGCAUGGGCUCAGAGAUGUCACAUCACUGCUUGGUUUGAGUUUGACUUUAAGCUCAGGCGAAUUUAGAUUUGAAUGUUCUAAAGUGUACCUGCAAAUCCUAACGUACACAACCAGACAACCCCCUACUUUCACCAAAAAGAAAAUCCCAACCCCCAACCAGAUGCACAGAUGCUCAGGCACGAUACAGGCAUAUGUAUUUAAGCAUAUGUAUUUUUCCUUGGUUUGGGAAUAUGAUAUAUAGGGGUGGAUCGAGCUAAUAGGCCCAUAUCAUCAUACCUUUUCAGUAAAAUUGUUUAAGCAUCUGCAGCCAAGGAAAAAUCCUCAGCUGGGACAUUCUUCAAGGUUUGAAAGUCUAAUGAUGAAAAGGGAAAAUGCAACAUUUAGGCAAUGGGUUGUACACAUUUUAAAAAAAUCUAGCUAAAUAGAAUAUGGCUUUAGAACUUAUCAUAUUAAACAUUUUUUUAAUUAUUAUUAUUAUUAUUAUUAUUAUUAUUAUUAUUAUUAUUAUUAUUAUUAUUAUUAUUAUUAUUAUUAUUUAUUUAUUUUUAACUGCCGUUCCCUUGUAUACCCUUCUUCUCUCGGUUUUAAUCUCGAUAUCUAGAACCAGAACUCUGAACGUCACCUAUAAUGACAUUGGCAACCACCAAUCACAGCUCCCAGUCCAUCUCCCACUUCAUCUGUGUUGUUCUUGGUUUUUUUUUUUGAGAGUUGCUACGUUAGAUAGAGACUCAUAGGAAGUGAGACAUGCUAUUGCUGGUUUGACUCUUAUAGGGUGGUGGUGGUGGUGGAACAAACUUAUAUCUUGGUCUUUUCCCUCUUCUUAGGAGAGCAUGGGAUAUUAUCAACCAUGCAUUUACUAGUAUGCUUGAUUAUUUGGAGACCACUGUGGUUUUCUCUAACCAGGGAAUAAGAAAUAAGAGUGAGAUGGGCUGCCAGUCAGCGGUCUGGCCAUGAUGCCUUCUUUGGUCAAAGUUUCUCUUUCAGGGAUUUAUUUGCUUUGUGUUUUAAGGGUGAAGGGAUUCUGUGGGAUUGGUAUUUAUGCUGUGCUUCCUUAUCACUCUCUUUGACUGGACCUGUGUAAGUCGAAUUUGAAGAGUUUUUUUAAUUAAAAAAAAUCAUUUGGGAACUUGAAGGAUCAAGGAAAUAGUAUUUGAGGAUUGAACAUGCAUCGAUGCGGACCACUUUUAUGUGUAUAGAAGUGUGAAAUCUUGAUAACUAAUAUUGCAAAAUCAGUUACAAAGAAAUGGAGAAAAUCAUGAGUUUUCAUGUAUGAGCAGCCAAAUGCAAACCAUGUUUUUUUUGAACAACCUAUGUUGUCUUCACCUUCAUUCUACUUCUUCAGUUAAUGCUAUAUAUAUUGCAUUUUUUCCUUAGGAUACGAGGUUCAUCUUUAUUUGGCAAUUCACUGUAUGCUUUGUUAUGCAGUUCCAGAUGUGCUUGAUGAUGUUGACUGUGUGCUGAACUGCAACAGCAAAUUCAAAUCAUUUUGCCUUCCAUGCGCUGAUUCCUACUUGCAUCUACCUAUGGUGGUAAGUGACAGGAACUAAAGUUCAUUAUUCUGAAAGGACCUUAAUUCUAAUUUGUACUUUUUAAUAGUUUAGUGUAUCGUCAACUUGUUUUCCUUAAAAUAAUUUUUGGCAGACUUCAAAAGAGGAUCGGUUUUCCUUGAUUAACAACCUCCCGUCAGCAGUUGGAUUUGCCAAGUUAAACUUGAGUAGAGGAAAGAAGAUGCUAGUUUGUUGUCAUAAUGGUAGUUUAAAGAACAAGUUGUUGUGAUUACUGUACUGGAUAUUGAACUGGUCCAUUGAAAAUCCUGUAAUUAUCUUACUUAUCUUAUGUACUUUAACUGCAGGGGAAGAUAUUAGCAUAUGUGUGUGCCUUGCUAUUUUGUCAUCCCUAUUUGACGAAGGAGGUAUGCCAGUUAUUUUUGUUUAAUACCUGGAGUAUAUAUGUUCCAUAAUUCAUGGGCACUUCAAGUAAUUAUAUAUUAUUAUUAUUUUAGUGAUAUCCUGAUAUGUUUAUGGGAAUGGGAACUUUAUUUAUUUAUUUGUUUGUUUGUUUAUGAUCUUGGGCUGCUUGCAUAUAAACAGCUAUUACCAUUGUUGAUGGCAAGCUGGUUGUUUCUAAUUUAAAGUUGUUACUACAAGUCAUUUAGCUGCAUUUACAUUUAUAAGCACAUUUACAUUUAUUAUAUGUUUAUUUAUUGUGUACUUGUAAACAAAGGGUAAGUCUUGGUGCAAUAGUAAGAUUGCUCCAUUAUGACCUGGAGGUCAUGGAUUUGAAAUGUGUAAACAACCUCUCCACACAUGGGGGUAAGAUUGCGUAUAUUUGACUCUUCAUAUACCUCACUAUGGUGGAAACCUAAUUCACCAGGCCACUCUUUUUAUUGUGCAUUUGUAUGCAUUGAGUUAUUUAUGCUAUUCUAUCAGAAGAAUGAGUGAGUUAGUGUGUGUGUGUGUGUGUGUGUGUGUCUCUCUCUCUCUCUAUGUAUAUAUGUAUGUAUGUAUGUAUGAGAUUUUAUAAACUUAUAUUCAAUUUCUAAACAUUUAGCAUGUUAAGCUGUUCUUUCUUUCCAAUCUUAUAACAUCAGUAUAAUUAAAAAACUGUUUCAGCAAUCAUUCUCAUAUUUAAUAGCAUGAUUACAAUUAUUUUUUAAGUAACUUCUAAUUUGCAUGAUUUGUGUCAUUUAUAGAUCCUGAAGGGGAUCGGGGAUUAAUCCAGGGAUGCAAAAUUGCAAACAAAUAGAGUCACAUUAAACCCAAAGUUGAUCCAACCAAGAAAGGGUCUUAUCCAAACCCAAUUUUGGACACAUGAGUUGGUUCUUGACAGCUUUUGACAGUUUGGAUGACUGUGGUAUAGUCUUCUUGUUUAUGGUGUGGCUUCUUGAAUCUCGUCUUGUUUGUUGUUUUCAUCCCCUAGAGUGACCUGAUGUAUAUCAUCUAGGGGUCUCUUCUUGUUGUGGUCCCCCCACCUCCUCCUUCGCCCAAGAGAAAAGAGAGGGAGGGGGGGGGGGGGGCGGGGGUGGGUGUGGAAGACAAGAAAAAAAGUACCUUUUCUUGGAUCAUUGGGCUGCAAUGCAUCCUUUUUGAGAAGCCUACUUUCUGCAGUUCAUAUAAGAAUGAUUAAGCUAACAUGAAUAACUACCUUUGAGAUCUCCUUUCAUGACUUUUGUUUGUUCAGACAUGCACGGCAAUUUAUCUUCCUAACACAAGCACAUUUCUGCUAGUUUCAUAUAUUUGUUUCUCACUUGGGUCAAUGAUUGUUCAAAACACAGUCAAUUGAAGAAAUUUCUUGCUUCACAUCUGGCACACAUGUAUACAUAUACUGUGAAGUAUGAACAGCACAUAGAUAAGCAUCCUCAGAAACUACUUUGAAUGAGCUCACAUUGAAAAAGGAUCCUGUGAAGCAGCUUGGGCACUCUGAAGUGUGCAGCUACGAGUUGCUGCUGCAGUAUCCUAUACAUUUCUUCUAACUAAAUCAAAUGUGCAGUGGGUAUCAUUAAUGGUACAAGACCCUAGGGUGUAGGAUCUAGAUAAUGUGAGAGCAAGCUUAAUAUAGAGCUUAAGGUAUUCUAUCAGUACUUGAAUUUUAUGAAUCUCAGAGUUGUAGGCCAAUGCAAUGUAAGUUGUAGGGCAACACAUUAUGCUUGGGGCAAUUCAUGGAAAUAAUGCUGAUAGUUAGAGCUCCCACCAGUUGCUUUGCAGCAUAAUGUGAGAGAAAAGAACUUGGUUUUAUCCUCAUUUAACAGCUAUGGCUUGAUUCAUUUUGGUGAAUUAAUUAUUAGGUAUUCUCUCCACAGCCAUCAGAAACCUCUCUAGCUCAAAAGGUAGGAUUGUGCUCUUCGGUGACAACCACGUGCUGAGAUUACCAUCAUUUGACUAUGGAGUUGAAGUGUCAUUCGUUGUGCCUUAUAUGCCUGCUGAUGGACAUGUUAAACUUUUCAUUUUAGGAUAGACUGAAAUAACUUAAUAUUGUUCACAUAUGAUUAGAAAUUUGAAUUUUUUAUUCUUGUUGGUAUAUGUUGCAGUGCUUAAAAAGGAAGCUAUAAUAUGCGGGUGAUCAAGUGCAUAUAUGGCAUGGGAGCUACAUUUAUAAUAUGCAGGUGAUCAAGUUCAUAUAUGGCAUGGGUGCUGCAUAUGGAGGCGCAUAUGCAGUUAGUAAUUUUAUAAAGGGUAGUGACGAAGGCUAAAUAUGUAGUAUAUGAAAAUUUAUGUGACAGGAUGGGGCAACAGAAGGUGAGAAAGAAAUUUACAAAAUAGUUAAAUUUAUAGAAAGGAAAGCUAUGGAUAUUGAUCGACUUAGAUGUAUCCAAAAGUGAGGAUAAUAGGAUAUUAGUAAAAUAUGAGAAAAUCAAAUAAAGAUAAUUUGUUAUUUUGAAAAAAAUGUUAAACAAGGUUUCUACAUAAGAAAUCUAUAUCGAAAAAGCAUAAUCAGGAAAAGUCAGUGUUCUAUUCAUACAAUUGGAAAUAAUUGAGUUAGCUUUGAAAAAAGUAAAGUGGAGAUAGCUUUGAAAAAGAAAAUGCAAAAAGGUAAGGCGUUAGAGUCAGAUGAAAUACCUAUUGAGGUUUGGAAAAUUAUGGAAGAUAUUGGUUAGAUUGGCUUACCAACCUAUUUAAUGAAGUUAUGAGAACUAAGAAAAUACCACAUGAGUGG
This 37272-nucleotide long non-coding RNA is filed under the name Elaeis guineensis (African oil palm). Its description in RNAcentral is "long non-coding RNA (EGUI_LNC006463)". Lineage: Eukaryota; Viridiplantae; Streptophyta; Magnoliopsida; Arecales; Arecaceae. The record is from RNAcentral.